Molecule: long non-coding RNA, 1575 nt
Organism: Calidris pugnax (ruff)
Lineage: Eukaryota; Metazoa; Chordata; Aves; Charadriiformes; Scolopacidae
Exons: 3
Source: RefSeq, a predicted model, not a curated record
AUCCAGGAACGCUGCAGAUGAAAAUCUCUGCUCAGGAAAGCCCGAAGGCCUCACGUGAUGCCUUGCGCAUUUUUAGAAUUUCAAAUUAAACGACGUCUUUUUAAAAAAAUUAUCUCUCUCCGGUCAGAAGGAAUUCAUGGGACCCGGGACUGUGAUUGACGUGAUUAAAUAUUUCAUUUCUGAGAUCACACCAAGGAGAAGGGCUACUCCUGCUGUUGCAUGGCUGUGCCUCUGGGGGAGCAGAGCACGAAGGAGCCUUGACCACCCUCCCCUGCAGAGUACGGCUUCCUAAUUUCACCUGAAGUGAAGGAGAGAAGAUUCAGGUUGUUUCUGUUCAUACAGAAACAAGGUGAGAUCCGGAUCAGAGAUGCUGAGGACAGGAUAGGUCAUGGUGAACCUUCAGCUUGACUCUGGGUGACACAAAGCCCCCAUUUCCACUCAGUUUCUGUUGAGCAGUUACUGGUUUUAUUUGGCCACAUACCAGUUUUUAGAAAGCUACCCAGUCCUGCUUUGAAGAACUCAAAGGACCAUGAGGUCGACACUUCUCCAGGCAAGGAGAAGCUCUUUCCAAGGUCAAGGUGCCCAUCCCCUAAAACAUAGGCUUCAUUUCCUAUUGAGAUUGGCUUCAUGUUAAUGACCGGGUUAGACAAGGUCACUGCCACACAUUAUAAUCUAAUUAGUGAUAGAGGUUGACACCAGCUGAGUACCUGCAUCUCACCAGCAAUAAAAGAGGCUCAUGGCAACCUGGGAGAUGGCCCAGAGGGGCUUUCUGAGCCUGCAGAAAAAUGAUAAGAGACUCCGACAUUAGAAAGACGGGAUCCUGAGCCGUGAGAUAAAGUAAGAGGUAUUGGUUCAAAAUGAGGCAGUUUUAUGAGUGAUUUUCUGCAGCUUUGUUUCAUCCAGUGUCCCUCUGAGUCAAAAAACCCACUGCUGCUGUUAGAGCUGGAUGUGGACAUCGGAGAUGACUAAAGCCACUUGAGAGAGACCCAUUUGUGGCUGGAAGACCCAUAACCGAUUUUACAAGAGGAGUUUUACAAAAGAAAAGUUUCAAAUUAGAUCCAAACAAAGAUCCCAAUUAGAUUUCACGUUGAAUGAAUGAACUUAGCCCGCUCCGUAAGACGGGCAGGGUGACACCUCUCUGUUUGUUUGGAUUUGGGAAUGAUGGGUGCAGUGAAGCAAUCCUCGCUGUGAAACAGUGAAAGCAAAUUCCUCCUCAUUAAUCCUUAGGGGUUUGCUAAUGGUUUAUCCUGGUUGUGGAAAUCCACUGUUACAUCGUUUAACACAGACUCAGCAGAGCAGAAAUGUUCCUCUAAGCUAUCAUCUUGAGCGUUAGGUGUAGAGGACUUCUCUUGCCAAAUGUCUAUGGUCUCUGAUUUUUUAAAAAAAAUAUUCUAAUAAGGUAAAGCAUUCAUAAAGCCUUUGGUUCCAGGAGCUGGAUCUCUCCAGGGCUGAGAAAAGCUUAGAAUGGAAUGGAAUAGAGUGGGGUAAAAUAAAAUAGAAAUUAACUUCAUUCUCGUUUCCCCGCUGUUGUUGACAUUUCCCAUCCUCAAGUAAACAAGUAAACAAGUAAACUUC